GGAAUCGUGUCUGCGGUACUCUGUUGUUAAGGCAGCCCUGGGAAUCGGCUAUGAUUCCUAAUGGAAGAUUUUAUCACAACACCAGCUUCCGAGAAGACCCAAAAUUCAGAUGGAGGAGACGAAGGGUGAUGGGACAAAACAGCAUCGGCCUUUGAGCUUGUUAUACAGGGGCUCAGAAACAGGAGCGGACGCCGCCACAGCGGACCUCGGCACAGCACAUUCUGAACUUUUAAGCAGAUUUAUGGGUAAGUUUGUGUCUAAAGGUGUGGUGUAAGAAGUA
This 280-nucleotide long non-coding RNA is filed under the name Mustela putorius furo (domestic ferret). Its description in RNAcentral is "lncRNA (ENSMPUG00000030380.1)". The record is from RNAcentral. Lineage: Eukaryota; Metazoa; Chordata; Mammalia; Carnivora; Mustelidae.